ACGGGAGGCAGCAGUGGGGAGUAUUGGACAAUGGGGGAAACCCUGAUCCAGCGACGCCGCGUGAGUGAAGAAGUAUUUCGGUAUGUAAAGCUCUAUCAGCAAGGAAGAAAAUGACGGUACUUGACUAAGAAGCUCCGGCUAAAUACGUGCCAGCAGCCGCGGUAAUACGUAUGGAGCAAGCGUUAUCCGGAUUUACUGGGUGUAAAGGGAGCGUAGACGGCAAAGCAAGUCUGAAGUGAAAUGCCGGGGCUUAACCCCGGAACUGCUUUGGAAACUGUUUAGCUAGAGUACAGGAGAGGUAAGCGGAAUUCCUAGUGUAGCGGUGAAAUGCGUAGAUAUUAGGAGGAACACCAGUGGCGAAGGCGGCUUACUGGACUGUAACUGACGUUGAGGCUCGAAAGCGUGGGGAGCAAACAGGAUUAGAUACCCUGGUA
RNAcentral lists this ribosomal RNA (434 nucleotides) under uncultured Lachnospiraceae bacterium. Its description in RNAcentral is "bacterial SSU rRNA". It matches the Rfam family "Bacterial small subunit ribosomal RNA", at positions 341 to 792 of the family's 1533-position model. Lineage: Bacteria; Bacillati; Bacillota; Clostridia; Lachnospirales; Lachnospiraceae. The record is from RNAcentral.